UACAUAGGUGGCAAGCGUUGUCCGGAAUUACUGGGCGUAAAGCGUGCGCAGGCGGUUCGUUGUGUCGGCGGUGAAAGCCCCGGGCUUAACCUGGGAAUGGCCGUCGAAACUGGCGAACUGGAGUGUGGCAGAGGGGGGUCGAAUUCCGCGUGUAGCAGUGAAAUGCGUAGAGAUGCGGAGGAACACCGAUGGCGAAGGCAGCCCCCUGGGCUGACACUGACGCUCAGGCACGAAAGCGUGGGGAGCAAACAGG
This 253-nucleotide ribosomal RNA is filed under the name uncultured bacterium. RNAcentral describes it as "partial 16S ribosomal RNA". It matches the Rfam family "Bacterial small subunit ribosomal RNA", at positions 524 to 776 of the family's 1533-position model. The record is from RNAcentral.